AACGAACGCUGGCGGCAUGCCUAACACAUGCAAGUCGAACGAGACCUUCGGGUCUAGUGGCGCACGGGUGCGUAACGCGUGGGAACCUGCCCUUAGGUUCGGAAUAACUCCCCGAGAGGGGUGCUAAUACCGGAUAAUGUCUUCGGACCAAAGAUUUAUCGCCUUUGGAUGGGCCCGCGUUGGAUUAGCUAGUUGGUAGGGUAAAAGCCUACCAAGGCGACGAUCCAUAGCUGGUCUGAGAGGAUGAUCAGCCACACUGGGACUGAGACACGGCCCAGACUCGUACGGGAGGCAGCAGUGGGGAAUAUUAGACGAGGGGCGAAAGCCUGAUCCAGCAACGCCGCGUGAGUGAUGAAGGCCUUAGGGUUGUAAAGCUCUUUUACCCGGGAUGAUAAUGACAGUACCGGGAGAAUAAGCACCGGCUAACUACGUG
This 433-nucleotide ribosomal RNA is filed under the name uncultured bacterium. Its description in RNAcentral is "partial 16S ribosomal RNA". It matches the Rfam family "Bacterial small subunit ribosomal RNA", at positions 29 to 507 of the family's 1533-position model. The record is from RNAcentral.